CCUACGGGUGGCAGCAGUGGGGAAUAUUGGGCAAUGGGCGCAAGCCUGACCCAGCAACGCCGCGUGAAGGAAGAAGGCUUUCGGGUUGUAAACUUCUUUUCUGAGGGACGAAGAAAGUGACGGUACCUCAGGAAUAAGCCACGGCUAACUACGUGCCAGCAGCCGCGGUAAUACGUAGGUGGCAAGCGUUAUCCGGAUUUAUUGGGGGUAAAGGGCGUGGAGGCGGGAGUGCAAGUCAGAUGUGAAAACUAUGGGCUCAACCCAUAGCCUGCAUUUGAAACUGUACUUCUUGAGUGCUGGAGAGGCAAUCGGAAUUCCGGGUGUAGCGGUGAAAUGCGUAGAUAUACGGAGGAACACCAGUGGCGAAGGCGGAUUGCUGGACAGUAACUGACGCUGAGGCGCGAAAGCGUGGGGAGCAAACAGGAUUAGAUACCCCUGUAGUC
RNAcentral lists this ribosomal RNA (443 nucleotides) under uncultured bacterium. Its description in RNAcentral is "partial 16S ribosomal RNA". It matches the Rfam family "Bacterial small subunit ribosomal RNA", at positions 338 to 795 of the family's 1533-position model. The record is from RNAcentral.